RNAcentral lists this ribosomal RNA (450 nucleotides) under uncultured bacterium. RNAcentral describes it as "partial 16S ribosomal RNA". It matches the Rfam family "Bacterial small subunit ribosomal RNA", at positions 354 to 796 of the family's 1533-position model. The record is from RNAcentral.
GUGGGGAAUAUUGGACAAUGGGCGAAAGCCUGAUCCAGCCAUGCCGCGUGUGUGAAGAAGGUCUUCGGAUUGUAAAGCACUUUAAGUUGGGAGGAAGGGCAGUAAGUUAAUACCUUGCUGUUUUGACGUUACCGACAGAAUAAGCACCGGCUAACUUCGUGCCAGCAGCCGCGGUAAUACGAAGGGUGCAAGCGUUAAUCGGAAUUACUGGGCGUGAAGCGCGCGUAGGUGGUUUUGUAAGUUGGAGGUGAAAUCCCCGGGCUCAACCUGGGAACUGCCUCAAAAACUGCAUGACUAGAGUACGGUAGAGGGUAGUGGAAUUUCCUGUGUAGCGGUGAAAUGCGUAGAUAUAGGAAGGAACACCAGUGGCGAAGGCGACUACCUGGACUGAUACUGACACUGAGGUGCGAAAGCGUGGGGAGCAAACAGGAUUAGAAACCCUUGUAGUCC